UUGAAAAUUUCAGGGAUAACUCCCUGCUACACGGCAUCCACCAAAUUCCCAACCGCCUCCACUCUCAAACAACAAACUGGCUGCUCCCUCUAUUUUUCAACACAAAAUCCCAGAAAAUGCUCAAAAAUUUCCCAGAUAUUUUCAUUGAAUUAACGAUCUCCUCAACUCAAUUUUAAUUAUCUCAUUCUUUCAAGUACAAAUGGAAAUCUGGAGAAGCCUGUAAUUGCAAGCGCAGUAACGGAGCCAUCGCAGGUCCAUAACAGAGCUAUCGUCGCCCCAUAACUGAGCCAUCGCUGCAAAUUUCGCCGGACGAGCAGACCUCCGCCACCGCUACAAAGUCCUAUGUAUGAAUUAAGAUCCAAGGCCUCAUCUCUGGUAAAAAUCAUGAAGAAGAGGUGAGCCCAUGUUGCACUAUUGUUUUCUAAGAAAGAAAAAUAACAAGCAUUUUGAAAAGAUGAAUGCAUGAGCUGUGAUGCUCAAAGAUUGUGUAUUUGGGUUCAUAAUUGUACCGUUCCGUGCAACCAAAAACUACGAUCUAAAUUUUUUCAUUAUUCUACGUACAAAAUCAACUUGUAUUCCUGCUGGUGAUACCGCGUUAAAUAGCUUGGCUUGUUCACAUGUGGAAAAAAUGGAUGGUUGCCAUCAAGUUCAGAGUCAUAUCUCACAACAGGUGCUUCUUCUGACCAGUCACAACGCAGAACCAAAAAAAGAGAAUCACUGUGAAGCAGCAAUGCAGCUUGAGGGCGGGGUCAGCGCGCUUCUGGUAUAACAACUUUUGCAGACUCACAAAAUCACAAAGAGCUUAUUUAUAAGCCCUGUGCAGGUGGUUUCAGCUUACUUACUUUCCUGUAGAUGGCGAAAACCGAAAUUGUUGCUCAUAUCUGGUUUGCAAUCUCUGGCAAAAAUGGCUGCUUGCUCGGCUACCUGAACGGUUGAACAGGUUGUAUCAGAAGCCAUUAAGAUCUUUCUUAAAGUGAUAUGAUCAAUAACGUCG
This is a long non-coding RNA of Spinacia oleracea (spinach), 994 nucleotides long. RefSeq lists it as uncharacterized. Lineage: Eukaryota; Viridiplantae; Streptophyta; Magnoliopsida; Caryophyllales; Amaranthaceae. The transcript is spliced from 8 exons. The record is from RefSeq and is a predicted model, not a curated record.